Molecule: long non-coding RNA, 12016 nt
Filed under: Medicago truncatula (barrel medic)
Lineage: Eukaryota; Viridiplantae; Streptophyta; Magnoliopsida; Fabales; Fabaceae
Description: long non-coding RNA (MTRU_LNC005762)
Source: RNAcentral
GGGUGUACUAAAUUUAUAGCCCUGUCAUCCCUAGAAUAAGUGUCUUUGUUAUACACAAGCACAAUUGUUUAGCUUUGUCAUCUCUAGACUAUAUUAGACUUAUCGCAGAAAAGGAUAUGUAGUGCCUUCCUUUCUCCAAUGAUAAGCAUAAAACAUCUAGUAGUAAGGGGUCUCAGAAUACUAGUCAAGUGCUACCCCUCUUUGUAUAUGAAUAAGGUAACAACUGUGAGUGUAGUUGCAUCCCCUAGAAAUAGAGUGGUCGAUACAUAUGUGACAAAUUUCUGACUGAAUACUAGUAAACUUGGUUUGAAUUAAAAAGAAACACCCAAUGACAACUGCUGCACUAUUACCUCUAGAAGAAUUAUUCAAUAAGAAGCAUUGAUUUGAUGAAGUUGGGAUGGGAUGGGAGGGGUAGAACAUACCUCGUUAGCUUCCAACUUUCAGAGCUGCAGGAAAUCUAAAACUGAUGGGACAUCUGAGUUAUUGGCAGAAGUUACCUACAACGUAAAGGUUAUUCAUUUCAAGAAAGCACACAAAAUCUGGUGUUGAUACCGAAAUGAUAAAUAACUUAUUUCUAAGUCUGAAUUGAAUUUACACAAUAGCUUAUUGGUCACAUUGUAGACAAGGUCGUGCACUAGGAACAUUCACGUAUCAGAAGUUGGUGCUCAAAAUCUGCAAAGAGAUCAUUCAGUAUAACAACCUUUGCAUCAACUUGAUGAAUAAGAAGUGCAUUGUCGUCCACACUCGCAACAAUCCUGCUGGAAUCUCUAUAUACGUAACUAUUUCAUGGCUACACAAAACAUUACCAUUUGAACAUUCCCUUUAUAAUUUUAACAAUUAUAAUUGAUGUUAAAGUUACAAGUUAAAACAAAGUAAAAUAGAAGGGGACAUAUACUUAAAUUAAAAGAUAGAUAUAGAGAGAGGGGAAGCACGAAAGGAAGAAAUGAAAAGGAAAAGAAAAAGGAGAAAAGAAGAGAAAGGGGAGAUGAUAUACUUUUGUGGGAGAGUAGAAGAAAGAAAAAAAAAAAAAAAAAACAAGGGUUGUUUUGUUUGAUUUUUUGUUUGUUUUGGUGAUGAUAGCGUGUUGUUUUUUUUGUUUGUUCGUUGAUGGUGAUGAGAAAGAAAAAAGGCUUUGUUUGAAAGUAGUGAGCACAUUCACUUUGAGAGAGAUUCAAUUCUUUGUGUGUAAGCCCUUUUUAUACUAUUGAGGUAUGCUUGUAUUUAUAGAGGUGAAAGACUUGGAGCUUCAAAGACAAAAACAGUUGUGUUUUCCUUGCUAAAAACAGCCCUGUGCUUAUGUUUUUGUUGCUUGGUGCGCAAGAAUGAGAAAAAUGUGCAUUUUGUCCAUGCAAAAUGUUCUCCAGAACGUUCUGGAACUUGCAAAGAGAAAAGGUUGACACGUGAAUGCAAGCUGUAGAAGUUUGGAGGCCACUUGUUUUUACAACUGUUUGACACUUCUUUGACAGCUACAAGUGUUGUCCUUUGUUGCUUUGAAAGCAAGAAUGUCCAAGUUGUAAAGUUUGCCACAUGGAGAAUGUUCUUAAGAACAUUCUUGUUGUUCCUUUCCUUUUUGAGACAACCACACGUGAUGAAAAAAAAUAGUUGUGAUCUGGUGGCAACAUGAGGGGACAUGAUAAUGUCAUUCUUAUCCCUUUGAAGUUCCACCGAAAUGUUCUCAAGAACAUUCUUUUAGUUCCAUGCACUUUUGAAGCAAAACGUGUGGUGUUGUGCAGCUGUAAUCUAGUGGCAUACUAGAUGGGACAUAAUGAUGUCACUUUGUUUCACUCGUAGUACGACCAGAACGUUCUGGUAGACUAUUCUUGAUGAAUUUUCAUUUUAUGUCUUUUUUAAUAAAAAUAAAAACAAACAACAUAAUAAAAUAAUGAUAAUAAUAAUAACGAAAAGGACUAGAAUAAAAUGACUAAAAAGAGUGGUCAAAAAAAUGAACCAAAAAUGAGGUAUUUUAAAAUAUGUCUCUGCCGAAAUUUUUCCUAAAAGGAAAAAAAAUUCCGGGCCAAAAAACAAAUGAAAUGGGAUCUUAGGUUAAAAAUUGGGAUAUGACAAUUACAUAACAAUGUUUUUUUUUGUUUUUUUGAAGGAAUUACGUAACAAUGUUGUUACACCAAUUAUUUAUUUUCUUCACAACCCUUCUUCAAAUAAAAACAUUUUUUUCCUUCUAUAUUCUCUAUUGUUUUUCAAGCAAAUAAUUAAUCUCUUCAUCUUAUCCUUAUUUUCCUUUUCUUCUUUCAAUAUCUAUUCAACUUUUUUUCCCUAAGUUAGAAAAUUAUAAAGUGAUUUAUUAGUAAAUAACAUGAUCAAAAAAGUCCAUUGUGAAACUUGUGCCAAAAUCUCUAGCCUACGGUACAUACAUAUGCAAAAACCACACAUCAAAAAACAAAAUUAACUAGAAGUUAAAUUAGCAUUCGUAGAUUUAUUCAUCGUAGCCAUAAAUCAGAACAAAAAUUGGAGCUGGGCGAGGAGGGAUGAAAUUGAAACAAAAAUCCCAAAGAAAUUUCAUCUGAAAUCCAGAAUCUAGAUUAAGUGCAUAAUGAUAAACCGGUAAAAGAAAAAGAAAAACAGAAAGUUGUAGUACUAAGUAAAUGCAACGUUAAGCACGAACUCCCCUAAGGCUAACCAUGCGGGUAGAUACAUCUCCAUGGGGUCCCCUCAGCGCUGAACCCCCUUGAGUCCUACUUGAAUUCUGAUAGCCGCCUCCACCCAUUCCCCGUCCUCUAGAAUAGCCGCCACUCCCACCAGCUUGAUUGAAUGACAAUGCCCUUCCACCAUAUCCUGCGCGUCCACUGCCUUGUCUUGUUUGAGAAUAGGACAAGUCUUGCCACCUGCCACCUGAAGACGUUCCACCACCACCGCCAGCAGCUGCAGCGGCAUAAUCCUGCCCAUCUCUCCGCCUUGGAGGCAGAUCCAACCCACCACCACCUAAUCUUGCUUCUGAAGCUCUUUCAUUACUCUCUGCAAGGAUAGAUAAUUUCUCAGUCAACUGGAAUGCCAAAGCCUGCACCCUUGAGAGUUCAACAUUUCUGAAAAUAAUGCACCCAGUUGGCUGAUCCCAGCUUGCAUGAAGCUCCUCAUUGAUCAUCAUCCUACUGACAAUACUAUGAGCACGAGGAAGAGAGAGAUCGAAAAAAUUUGUGAGCUGAUCCACGCUCAAAGAAUCAUAUGAUGAAGAGAAGGUAAAUAGGUAUGUCCUAAGCGCCUCCUCCUUGAUUUUGUCCUUCAGCAUUUCUAGCACGGUGUCACGAUUUUUCACAAAUUUCCACACCUCAAGAGAUGCAAUAAUGUCAAAGGCCUUCUGGAAAUCGCCAUUAAUAAGAACCCUUGUGGCAGCCAUAACAUGAUCCCUGACAGUUUCAGGAGGACCGGUGAAUGUUUGUUUCUCACUGACCUCAAGCAAGCGGCGGAAAUUCUUACUGAUGAUCUUACGCUUAGCAUCAUGAACAUUGGCUGCCAUGUUGGGAACUUCCAGCAGCAUAGCAGAUGUAAGAUGCACUGAUUCCAGGAGCUCAAGAUUUAUAUGCAUAUGAUAUGGCAUCUGCCGUCUUCUUUCCAACCUUUCCUGAAAGAUAGUUAAAAAAGAGUUUACUGUAUGUUAAACAUAAAUCUCUCACAUUUCCAAGGCAGCUGAAAGAAACUGACUCAGUAGAUGGAAAUAUGACAAAAGUUGCCAAUUAGGAUUUCCAAAAAAAAAAUAAAAAAUACAUUCCAAUAUAAAGUAUGAGUCUUCAUUGUUUUAGUUUCACAACAUCAUAAAAAAUCCUAGUCCAAAAACUUGGGGUUCGAACCUACCAAGACAGAAAACUUUCAGUUAUGCUCAAACAAGUGGAAUAGAUGAAAGUAAUAAUAGAAUGGACAGAAGUUUUUUUUAAGAAAUUAAAAAAAAAUGGCAUAGUCUGAUUUCACUGCAAGGUUAUCUAUAAUUCUCACAAAAGUUUCCUCAUCUAUUUCAGUUACUAUCAAAUUCAGGCACACUGUUUGUUAGCCAAACUCAACUACCAAAGGUAAUUUAAAAAUCUUGAGUUGAGAGGGGUAAAAAAACUCAUGCUUCCUUUCAUACUUUAUUAGUUUAAUAUUAUCCUUUUUCCUUUGCUUACUAUGGUUUAUACAAUAGGGAGCCUCUAACACAGUCUUUGUAAACAAAACCGACCCCUAGUGUUUUCCAUAUGUGCAACCGUUGUAUAAUAAUUUUAAAAAAUUGUGAAUAGAUGCUAAGAAAAUUGCAACUUCUGUAACAGGAUAAAGUUUAAAAUAAAUAAUAACAAACUAAAAACAGAAAACAAAAGAUAUGUGAUUCAAUUGAAUAUGAUGAUUCAAAGGAAAUUCAGCAACAAAGAGAACAGAGCAAUAUGCAGCCAAUAAUAUUAUACCUCAUAAUUGAUUAAUCCCAGUCAAUAUGAAUGUAAAGAUAAAUAAAGCACCUAAACUGCAAUCAAGAGCACAGUUGAUUUUAAAUUAUUUCUAUGAAAAAUCAAACAGGGAAUUCUUUAGAGCAGUCACUUUGGAUCCAUAAAAAUUAUAUUACUUGACACCAUAUCAUAUAUAUUUCAUAUAUAUUGUAAACCUGUAUGAACUUCACCACAAUAAGUACAGUAAUAAAAGCUGGGAUUGAGUACCUGUUCUGGAGUCUUUUCAUGAUAACGGUUCUGUGAAACUCCUUGUGCAAGCAGUUCUUUCACCCGUCCACCAGAAUAAAGUUCAGACAAACAGCCAUGUGCUUCAGAAACCAGGCCAACACGAAAAGCACAUAGACCUAACUGUGACAUAGCCCUGUUAAAGAGUAUCUGUGUCGAAAUGUCCAUGUGGUGAACAUUUUCUUGCAAAUGACUCAUAAGCAACAGAUCACGGGCAACUGCAAACUCAUCUAGAAGAGCAUGGUGAUAUAUAUCACAAAGCAUUGCGCGUGCUUUAGUGCGCUCAUCUCCGUAUUUGUAUAUUAGUGAUACCAACACAUCCAUUAAGGUCCUGCUAUUCUCCGGGAAAGUGGGUUUCCGGGCCACAAGCUCUGGGGUAACAACAAAUGGAGCAAUGAUUCUUGUAUCCACAAAACCUUUUGACUCCUCACUCACCUCCUCUCCGUUAUCUCCAUCUACCGUCAGCUCAGCCAAUUUUCUCGUUGCUUCAUAAACCUCAUGUGGUUUGUAGUAAAUGAGUUCAACCCUCUUCAAGGCCACCUUAGAAGAAGCUUUGAAAUCUCCGAUGCUUUCAAGAUAUUCCUGGACAUUCUGUGCAAGAACAACAAACAGAGGCUCAUCCCUGAGUCUCUCAACAUAUUCACGUGUGUGGGGAUCUAUGCACUGCAAGCUCUUGAAAAAUUCGGCAUCUAUUUUUUCUAAGAAAGCAACUAAGUUGCCCCAGACAUGAAUGGGUCCGUCAUAGUCAUCCCCUUUCUUAGAUUCAUUCUCAUCUAGUUCCACAGAAUCAUCAACCUUUAUGUUUGGGUGCUGCACGAGAAUAUCAAGAAUGACCAGCAUAUUCUGCACGCACUUUUUCCACACAUUUAUGGGCAUAUGCCCACUGAGGCCAGGAUUAACAUCAAACUGAGCAGAAACCACACUGAAAAGAAUUUGCAGCUUCUGUGCAGGUGUUUUAGCAACUUUUGUUAGGAAGGUAAACUGCUCAACCUGUUCAAACCUUCCAGUUCCCUUCCUGCCCCUGGCUUCCAGAAUCUCUUUGAACUUGUUGUUAACAGUAUCCCAUGUGAUCUCACUAGGCUUUUUCAUGAACAUUUUCUCCAAAAGCCUAUCUUUCUUUCUAAGCUUUUGAUCCCAAGGGGCAUCGUCAUCAUCACCAGGCCUGUCAUUACCAAGCUCAGAAGUUUCAGAAUCCGAUACGGGCUCCGGCUUCUUGAGCUGAUCAGGUUCAAUGAUCUCAUCAUCAUCGGACCCAUAUUGGUCAGAGUCCUCAUCGUCUUCAAACUUUUCCUCCUCACUCUGAGGAGUCUCCCUGAAUUUGAUAAUCAAGUCCUCGUAUUGCUUAUUGUUCUUCUUCAAUUUUUGCUUCAUUGAGUUGAAGGCUUUGGCAUUGGUGGGACUCAUCUUCUUUUUGGCAUCCUUAUUAGAAGAAGCCUGAGCGAGGAAAUCUUCAAGCAUUACAAGAGCCUUGAUGUAGAGAUUGGGGAUCUUUUGGGACUCUAUAACACGCAUAACUUUGUCGAGCUGUUUGUUGAUCUUAUCAAAGGUCUCUUGCAAGCUGACCCAGUCAUUGAUCUUGAUGGCAUUCUUGAUCUGAUCGACAGUGGAAGCCAUCUCAUCAAAACGCUUAUCUUUAGCAGACUUAACAACACGCUUUUGGCCAUCAUCAUCGUCACUGUCAUCAGGAUGAAUACCAGCAAUGUAUCUAUUGGCUGUAUUGUUUGUGGGUUCAUCAACGGGUUCAGUAUCGCUACUAGGUUCAUCAAUAUCAGUGGGUUCGUCAUCGUCACUAUCGCUAUUACCCUAAGAAUAAUAAUAAUAAUAAUAAUAAUAAUUAAAUUGAAUAAACACAGAGACGGUGCAAAGAAAUUAAAACAAGAAGAAGAAUAGAGAAGUUAGCAUAGCAUAAUACCUGUGUCCAGAAUCUCGAAGCCAUUGGUUUGGUUGUUAUGAGAAUUUAGUUUUGCGCGAUGAAUAGGAAGAGCUAACCUAAGCUACUAUUUGAUUCGAUUUAAUUUAUUUAUAUAUUUAUAGGGUUUUUAGUUGAGUAAAUCAUCAAUUUUGUUCUCUCAAUUUGCACUAAUCAGCCAAAUUCGUCCCUCAAUUUAACGAAAUAUCAAAAUAGUCUCUGAAUUUGUAAAAUGUUCGUCAAUUUUGUCCUUCCGUCCAAAUGGAGGGUUAACGGUGCUGAUGUGGUCGUUAACAUCUCAUAUGUCAGAUGCCACGUAAGCAGGAACUAAGUUGGCCGAUAAUGACUUAAAUUUUCAAGGACUAAGUUGAUUGAAUUUCAGAAAAUUGCUCUUCUUCCCCCAACGGCUCUCUUCCUUCUCCAACGGCUAUUUCUUCCCCAAAUAUAUAAAAUUGAAACUCUAAUUUUACAAUGUGUAUUCUACACUCCAAAAUCUCCAAAUUUGCUUCCAAUAAUUAAGAGUCACGUUCUUCCCCAAAUCAAAAAAUUGCAAACCCUAAUUUUUUUUAAUUGAAUAUGAAAACCAAAAUCUUCAAAAUUCAUUCAAGCAAAACUGUUGAAAUUGAAACAAAAAUGAUUGGGGGUGGUCAUAUGGGCAAAAAGAGCUAUCAAAGUCAAGUUUCAUCUUCAUCUUCCAUGUUUAAUGGUGAUGUGAGAGUGCUUGAAUGUUGUGUGGGUUGAUAAAGCUGAAGAACUAGGUUACUUUAAAAACAAUGGAAUUUGUGCUGCUCAUGGAAGAAAGACAAGAAUGAUGGAGAAGGUUCAGUCCAUGCUUAAGGCUAAGGAAAGUGGCAAUGACGAGGUUUGGAGGCAACGUUGAUGGACAAAGUUGAUUGUACAGGAAGUGAGCUUAGGGUGAUUAAAUUUAUGAUAGUUAUAAUCUGCUUGUUUGAGUUUUGCAACAUGCUAAUGUAUAUUUCUAAGGUUGUGUAGAGUUGUAAUGAUUUUACCAUGAAAAGAGGUUGAAGAUGAAUGAAAUGUUGCGUAUCUGUUAUAAUUUUACCAUCAGAUUAGUCCCUGAAUUAUUUGUGUUACUAUCAAAUCGAUCCCUGAAUUAUUUUAAAAACCAUAAAAAAAGUCCCUGAAUUAUAUUAACAGAAAUCAAGUUGAUCCCUGAGGCAUAAAUUUGCAAAACAACAUAAAAAAGGCAGUAGAUACCAAUCGAAAUAGUAAUAAGUUAUAACUAAAUGAUAAAAACAUGAAAACAAAAAUCAUAAAAACGAAAAAAAAAAAAUGGGCGAAAACGAAUAGAGAAAAAGGAGAAGAUGAACAAAGUUACCUUCAAAACAGACGAAAUCUUCCUUCUAAAAUGCAAGCUUGAUCGCCGGAGAGGAUGAUGAUCUUGGAGAAGUGAAAAUGGAGGGAAGAAGAACAGACAGGGACUUAAUUGAUGUGUUCUGUAUGAAAUGUGAGGAUGUAUGGUAAUGGGAAACAUAGGGGUAAAAAAGGAAUUGCAGAAAAAUGAAGUUAAAAAAGUGAAAACUAAAAUUUUCGUAUUUUCUAUCAAUUUAGUCCCUGUACACGUGGCUUUCUUUUUCCCACGUGUACAAGCCAACACAGCACACUAACAGACCUUUUGGACGGAGGGACGAAAUUGAUGGACGUCAAAUAAAUUCAGGGACUAUUUUGAUAUUUUGUUAAAUUAGAGGACGGAUUUGACCGAUCGCUGAAAAUUCAGGGACGAAAUUGAUGGUUUACUCGUUUUUAGUUUUCAACUCAAUGGGCCAACCCGGAUCUAAACCACCCCCACACUCCUGACAUUUUUUAUUUUAUUUAAUUAUUAUAUUAUAUUAUCAAUCUCUAAAUUAUUGAACAUUAAUUAAUUUUUUAUAAUCGAUAAAAAUUAAGUCUUAUGAAUCACAUUUAAAAACACAAAUUUUUUUAUUUUUUUUUGAAAGAAAACACAAAAUUGUAUAGCUUAUAAAAAAAUAAUAUCUUUUUUAUCAUAACUCUUUUUUUCUUUCUUUUUUACAAAAAUAAACGAUAUUCAUUCAUUCAAAUUGAUAAAGUACAUCGAUACAAUACAAAUCCAAUUUCACUAAAAACAAAAAGGAUGAAUAUGUGAACAAACUCAUAACAUCCAUGUUAAUAGCAUAAAACGGCAAAGUACUUAUGCCUACAAAUAUGACUAAUAUGACUAUAUUCAUGUCACCGGAAUACUCAUGUGUCCGUAUCUGCAACGUUGACGACGCCAAAGUCAUUGUCAUUCGAUCGGAUCUGCACUUGCUCAAAGCUAAUCUUUCAACCUGAAUCAAAUAAACACCGCACUAAGACGAGAAAUAAAAAACACACCGUACAAAGACGGGAAAUCAAAACAAACAGAGUCGUUCAAAGACGACGAAAUCACAAAAAAACAAACUAAAGAAAACAGAAAAUCUAUGAAAUCACUUAUUCAAUUAGGAUAGCAGGAAAAGCAAUUCGGAUGGGUGAUUUUUGGGUCAAAAUUGACCCUAAAUCACCCCUCUGAAAAGAAGAAAAAGAAAAGGGUAACGGUCAUGGUUUGAGAAGGAGAGAAGAGAGAGAGCAAGAAAGGGAGUUUUUGAAAUUAUGGCUAUUUUUAUCAUGACUUAUUAAUAAGGGUCAUGUUUUUUAAAAAAUAAAUAAGUGUCAUGUUAAAGAAACAAGGGUUUUGUUAACAUGACCCUUAUUUCUUAAAAAAAAAAAAAAAAAAACAUGGUCAUGUUAUUUUAUUAUUCUGACAUUUUUUUUUUCUUUAUUUUUUUUUUUUGAAGAUCAGAACUAGAUAUUUUCUAGUUCAAGAUGGUUUGGCAUAUUUUAACUUUAUCAUCACUAGCGUUCAGGCCGGACAUCCGUGCAUGUCUGUCUGCUUUUUCAACUGCGCUAACGUAUAUAUUCUCCACCUUAUUUUUUUGUAUAUUAAUUAAAUUAAUAUAUAGUUUGUCAUUCACAAAUAUAAGAACUACAAAUCUGAUGAUCGGAGAUUCAUUUUUGCCCAUCCUCCUCUUUUUCUGUUUGUUAUUAUGAUAACAUAUGUAUACAAUAUAUUUAUUCCUUUUUGUAUAAUUUUAAAAAAAUGAUUACCGUUUAAGAAUUAAUUGCGGUUAAUUCUUCGUACACACCUUUAUUGAUAAUUUGUUGUCUUUCGAAAAACUACGAAUUAAUUAGAUAAUAUGUUAUGUGUGUAGUGUUUACCCUUUUAAAUGGCAAAAGUUAUGGUGCAUAAGGAUUCCUUAUGCACCGUGCAUAAACACUUUACAAACAUCGGAUCUAGUGUACACGUAUAAUAAUCCUAGUUUUCAUCUCUACAAUUCUCCCUCUCUCUCAAACAUUUCUCUCAAUAAAACAUAAAGCUCUCCCUCUCUCUCUACAAUUCAGAUGAGUCUUCAUCACUUCCGGCCACACAUGAUGAUUCCGGCACGGCGGCCGUCGGUGGCACCACCGCGCCGGAGUUCAAAACUCCGUCCAAAUCAAAAAGUUUUCACGGUUUUAGACAUCCUUUUGUGUUGAUUCCAAAUAUCGUCUUAGAUUUCUCAAAAAAACUCACACGAGCGUAGAUCUACGAGUAAAAAAACAAAACAAAAAGAGAAAAUGAAACUACCUCUUGUUCUUCACGGAUCCGUUUCGCGUUUUGGUCUUCUUCUCUGAUCCGGUUCGGAUUUGUUGUUGUGUUGAAGUGUUGUUCCGAUCCGGUUCGAAUCUUGUUGUGGUAGGCUGUACGAACUCUCCCUCUACCUCUUCUAACCGAUUCUGGAUGUUCUUCUUUAUGCGGGAACGACGUGGUUUUGAGUUAAAACCAAUUCGUCGUCGUAGAUAACGACAGAUCUGAACUUAUUUAUGGAUUUUUUGAUGAAUUCGAGAGUGGUAGAUGAUGUUUAUGUGAUUUUCUGUGGUUUAGUGUUCAUGAGGUUCACGGUUUCAGAUCUGAAACUGCUGGAAACCAUUAAGUAUAUCUAAUGGUUUUGGAGUACAACUGUUGGAAACCAUUAAGUACAUCUAACGGUUUUCCACAGCAAAAUGGUUUUGGCAUUCUGGUACGGUGAUGAUGAACGACGGUGUUGAUAAUGAGAUUGAAGAUUCUGGAAACCAUUUCCACAACAAAAUGGGUUUGGAGUACAACUCACAGAAACCAUUUCCACAGCAAAAUGAUUUUGGCAUUCCGGUACGGUGUUGAUGAUGAACGACGGUGUUGAUGAUGAGACUGAAGAUUCCAGUGGUGAUGAUGAUGAACGACGGUGAUGAUUCAGCUUGUUUCCGCGUUUGGUUCAUUUUGUUUUGUUUUGUUUGGUUUUCUUUGAAGGUGUAGGAAGAAUUAUGUUGGGAUUUAUGCACGGUGCAUAAGAACCUUAUGCACCAUAACCGAUCCCGUGGAACUGCCAAAGAUAAUUUUGGUUUAAUAACAAAAGCCACACCAAAAGUGGAACUACCAAGGGUAUUUUUGGGUAACAAAGUUUUCCCUUUAUAGAUAGUUAAAAAAUAGUAAUAUUGGCAUAUAUACCUGUUUCAACAAUUAUAUCAACAAGUAAGAAGGGUUUCCCACCAUCUCUUCAUCAAUAGGAGAAUCCAAACAUGAAACAAUUGAAGCUUUUAUUAAAAGUUCCGCUGUCGGGUUAAGUUGUAGAUUCAUGUAUGAUCGAUUUUUCAACUGCAUAUUUUUCUAUAGCAGAUACAUGAGCAUCAGCAUUUUGUGCACCAGAAUCUAAUGUCCAACCCCUUCAGAUAGAUACAAGUUUUAACUGAAUGGGUGUACUAAAUUUAUAGCCCUGUCAUCCCUAGAAUAAGUGUCUUUGUUAUACACAAGCACAAUUGUUUAGCUUUGUCAUCUCUAGACUAUAUUAGACUUAUCGCAGAAAAGGAUAUGUAGUGCCUUCCUUUCUCCAAUGAUAAGCAUAAAACAUCUAGUAGUAAGGGGUCUCAGAAUACUAGUCAAGUGCUACCCCUCUUUGUAUAUGAAUAAGGUAACAACUGUGAGUGUAGUUGCAUCCCCUAGAAAUAGAGUGGUCGAUACAUAUGUGACAAAUUUCUGACUGAAUACUAGUAAACUUGGUUUGAAUUAAAAAGAAACACCCAAUGACAACUGCUGCACUAUUACCUCUAGAAGAAUUAUUCAAUAAGAAGCAUUGAUUUGAUGAAGUUGGGAUGGGAUGGGAGGGGUAGAACAUACCUCGUUAGCUUCCAACUUUCAGAGCUGCAGGAAAUCUAAAACUGAUGGGACAUCUGAGUUAUUGGCAGAAGUUACCUACAACGUAAAGGUUAUUCAUUUCAAGAAAGCACACAAAAUCUGGUGUUGAUACCGAAAUGAUAAAUAACUUAUUUCUAAGUCUGAAUUGAAUUUACACAAUAGCUUAUUGGUCACAUUGUAGACAAGGUCGUGCACUAGGAACAUUCACGUAUCAGAAGUUGGUGCUCAAAAUCUGCAAAGAGAUCAUUCAGUAUAACAACC